CGUAGGAGGCAAGCGUUAUCCGAAUUUACUGGGCGUAGAGCGUGUGCAGGCGGCUUGAUAAGUUGGGUGUGAAAUCUCCUGGCUCAACUGGGAGAGGUCGCUCAAGACUGUCGGGCUGGAGGGCAGGAGAGGGUGGUGGAAUUCCCGGUGUAGUGGUGAAAUGCGUAGAGAUCGGGAGGAACACCUGUGGCGAAAGCGGCCACCUGGCCCGUACCUGACGCUGAGACACGAAAGCUAGGGGAGCUAACGG
RNAcentral lists this ribosomal RNA (250 nucleotides) under uncultured bacterium. RNAcentral's name for it is "partial 16S ribosomal RNA". It matches the Rfam family "Bacterial small subunit ribosomal RNA", at positions 526 to 775 of the family's 1533-position model. The record is from RNAcentral.